This 492-nucleotide ribosomal RNA is filed under the name uncultured bacterium. RNAcentral describes it as "partial 16S ribosomal RNA". It matches the Rfam family "Bacterial small subunit ribosomal RNA", at positions 29 to 507 of the family's 1533-position model. The record is from RNAcentral.
AGUGAACGCUGGCGGUAGGCCUAACACAUGCAAGUCGAACGGCGGCACAGUAAGAGCUUGCUCUUACGGGUGGCGAGUGGCGGACGGGUGAGGAAUACAUCGGAAUCUACUUUUUCGUGGGGGAUAACGUAGGGAAACUUACGCUAAUACCGCAUACGACCUACGGGUGAAAGCAGGGGAUCUUCGGACCUUGCGCGAUUGAAUGAGCCGAUGUCGGAUUAGCUAGUUGGCGGGGUAAAGGCCCACCAAGGCGACGAUCCGUAGCUGGUCUGAGAGGAUGAUCAGCCACACUGGAACUGAGACACGGUCCAGACUCCUACGGGAGGCAGCAGUGGGGAAUAUUGGACAAUGGGCGCAAGCCUGAUCCAGCCAUACCGCGUGGGUGAAGAAGGCCUUCGGGUUGUAAAGCCCUUUUGUUGGGAAAGAAAAGCAGCAGGUUAAUACCCCGCUGUCCUGACGGUACCCAAAGAAUAAGCACCGGCUAACUUCGUG